AAUCCUUGGUUAGGAGGAAAGGGAGUGGAGAGGACCGUGCUGCCUGGCGUUCCCCAGCUGCCUUUCUUUCUGUUUUCCCCCCAACGGAAUCUCUAUGUGGUCUCCUAGAGCCUCGUGCCUGCCUCUCAGCUAGAUGCUGAUAUCAUUCCCACUCAUGUAGUUGGGAAGGAAGGGUGUGGCAGAGAUAAAGGGUCCACGGUCACGCAGUAUGUGGGGGGUCACACAGCCUGUAUGCCAAAGUGGCACACCCUGUGAAUAUGUAGGGUCGCACAGCCUUUAUGUGUCAGUGCCAGAGCCUGGACCCGGGUCUGUAGAUGUGUGAACCGUGAGCUGAUACCAUGGAUAUUCAAAGAUUUACAUCCCAUCAAUGUUUAUACCUUCUUGAGAAGAAAUUUGUGUCAAAGCACACUCCUCCUUUCAAGACUACCUCCUCGCCGUGCUGCGUGAUAGCCCUAGUAUCACAACCAAAACACAUGAUACAGAAAGAGGCCAGUAUCUGUGUGGCUUCAGGCUCUUGUGCGUUGGCCAUGAAGCAAAGGAAGGCUGUUGCAUGAAAUAACCUCCUUCUGACUCCACCCUUGCAUUUGUGAGAUGUAAACAGCAGUGUUACCAAGAGGUCUUCCAGGGAACACGUUGCAGGUCGUCCUUGGUGGAAGGAACCAUGAACUGGCAUCUCCCCCUCUUCCUCUUGGCCUCUGUGACGCUGCCUUCCAUCUGCUCCCACUUCAAUCCUCUGUCUCUCGAGGAACUAGGCUCCAACACGGGGAUCCAGGUUUUCAAUCAGAUUGUGAAGUCGAGGCCUCAUGACAACAUCGUGAUCUCUCCCCAUGGGAUUGCGUCGGUCCUGGGGAUGCUUCAGCUGGGGGCGGACGGCAGGACCAAGAAGCAGCUCGCCAUGGUGAUGAGAUACGGCGUAAAUGGAGUUGGUAAAAUAUUAAAGAAGAUCAACAAGGCCAUCGUCUCCAAGAAGAAUAAAGACAUUGUGACAGUGGCUAACGCCGUGUUUGUUAAGAAUGCCUCUGAAAUUGAAGUGCCUUUUGUUACAAGGAACAAAGAUGUGUUCCAGUGUGAGGUCCGGAAUGUGAACUUUGAGGAUCCAGCCUCUGCCUGUGAUUCCAUCAAUGCAUGGGUUAAAAAUGAAACCAGGGAUAUGAUUGACAAUCUGCUGUCCCCAGAUCUUAUUGAUGGUGUGCUCACCAGACUGGUCCUCGUCAACGCAGUGUAUUUCAAGGGUCUGUGGAAAUCACGGUUCCAACCCGAGAACACAAAGAAACGCACUUUCGUGGCAGCCGACGGGAAAUCCUAUCAAGUGCCAAUGCUGGCCCAGCUCUCCGUGUUCCGGUGUGGGUCGACAAGUGCCCCCAAUGAUUUAUGGUACAACUUCAUUGAACUGCCCUACCACGGGGAAAGCAUCAGCAUGCUGAUUGCACUGCCGACUGAGAGCUCCACUCCGCUGUCUGCCAUCAUCCCACACAUCAGCACCAAGACCAUAGACAGCUGGAUGAGCAUCAUGGUGCCCAAGAGGGUGCAGGUGAUCCUGCCCAAGUUCACAGCUGUAGCACAAACAGAUUUGAAGGAGCCGCUGAAAGUUCUUGGCAUUACUGACAUGUUUGAUUCAUCAAAGGCAAAUUUUGCAAAAAUAACAAGGUCAGAAAACCUCCAUGUUUCUCAUAUCUUGCAAAAAGCAAAAAUUGAAGUCAGUGAAGAUGGAACCAAAGCUUCAGCAGCAACAACUGCAAUUCUCAUUGCAAGAUCAUCGCCUCCCUGGUUUAUAGUAGACAGACCUUUUCUGUUUUUCAUCCGACAUAAUCCUACAGGUGCUGUGUUAUUCAUGGGGCAGAUAAACAAACCCUGAAGAGUAUACAAAAGAAACCAUGCAAAGCAACGACUACUUUGCUACGAAGAAAGACUCCUUUCCUGCAUCUUUCAUAGUUCUGUUAAAUAUUUUUGUACAUCGCUUCUUUUUCAAAACUAGUUCUUAGGAACAGACUCGAUGCAAGUGUUUCUGUUCUGGGAGGUAUUGGAGGGAAAAAACAAGCAGGAUGGCUGGAACACUGUACUGAGGAAUGAAUAGAAAGGCUUCCAGAUGUCUAAAAGAUUCUUUAAACUACUGAACUGUUACCUAGGUUAACAACCCUGUUGAGUAUUUGCUGUUUGUCCAGUUCAGGAAUUUUUGUUUUGUUUUGUCUAUAUGUGCGGCUUUUCAGAAGAAAUUUAAUCAGUGUGACAGAAAAAAAAAUGUUUUAUGGUAGCUUUUACUUUUUAUGAAAAAAAAAUUAUUUGCCUUUUAAAUUCUUUUCCCCCAUCCCCCUCCAAAGUCUUGAUAGCAAGCGUUAUUUUGGUGGUAGAAACGGUGAAAUCUCUAGCCUCUUUGUGUUUUUGUUGUUGUUGUUGUUGUUGUUUUAUAUAAUGCAUGUAUUCACUAAAAUAAAAUUUAAAAAACUCCUGUCUUGCUAGACAAGGUUGCUGUUGUGCAGUGUGCCUGUCACUACUGGUCUGUACUCCUUGGAUUUGCAUUUUUGUAUUUUGUACAAAGUAAAAAUAAACUGUUAUGAGUAGUAAAAAUAAAGCUAUUUCUCUGCUAUUUGAAAAUACAAUAGAAGAAACUGAGCCUUUUAGACAUUCGUCAGCCUCUUCUAAUAAACCUUUGUACUAUGUAAACAUCAGGAAAUUCAAA
Homo sapiens (human) is the source of this 2677-nucleotide RNA transcript. It is a transcript of the gene named serpin family E member 2, with no coding region annotated. The transcript has 10 exons. The record is from RefSeq and is marked reviewed. Lineage: Eukaryota; Metazoa; Chordata; Mammalia; Primates; Hominidae.